GGGCCCGUCGCGAGACACGUCUGGACAUUCGUCUGGCAGGAAGCGUCUCCCUGUCACAGCCCCGUUUCCUCGCGCUCAAGUCGGGAUCUCGAGUUGACGUGACGCUGUUUAUAGUACCUCGCGGUUCCUCCCGAGAAAUGGUGGGACCACUCCCUGCCUGCUGCAAGAAGGACAAGAAGGUCAUUUAUCAAGUUAUUUCUUAUUGAUAACUAAAAUGCUGAUGGCUACGUCGCACGGGUAGAAUCAUAGCAGGUCAGAACUACGGAAGCCCAGAAGACCUGAAAGACCCCCUGGUCAACCCCUGCUCUAUUGGAUAAAAUCCACUGAAAAUUCAGCUCUGGGCUGAGACAGAUGCACAGGGGCUGCAAUCAAUAUCAGAAGGAUCCCUUACUCAGGAGCACAUACUGCCCAGGUGGUCAUUUGAAGUGGCUCAUCAAAUUUGCUCUUCUUGGUAAAGAAAAUGUGGUACAUAUAUACAAUGGAAUAUUACUCAGCCAUAAAGAAGAAUGAAAUCAUGGUAUUUGCUAGUAAAUGAAUGGAACUGGAGACUC
Sciurus carolinensis (gray squirrel) is the source of this 551-nucleotide long non-coding RNA. RefSeq lists it as uncharacterized. NCBI's taxonomy places the organism in Eukaryota, Metazoa, Chordata, Mammalia, Rodentia, Sciuridae. The record is from RefSeq and is a predicted model, not a curated record. The transcript has 3 exons.